Anguilla rostrata (American eel) is the source of this 3820-nucleotide long non-coding RNA. RefSeq lists it as uncharacterized. The transcript has 6 exons. NCBI's taxonomy places the organism in Eukaryota, Metazoa, Chordata, Actinopteri, Anguilliformes, Anguillidae. The record is from RefSeq and is a predicted model, not a curated record.
AUUCACUCUGCCAUCCGUAAUCUUCCCUUGGAAGAAAAGUUAACACCAGCAGUUUCCCUCCAAUUAAAUGUAAAUUACGUUUUUUACUCUUCUUUUUCUAUUAACGGUCUGCAUGGUGGCCUGAUUCAAAUUAAUUCCCCUCAAUUUGCGGAUUCACCACUCUCAUUAUCUGAACGGCAGGAAGCUAUUUUAUUUUUUGAACGAGUGAUCUGGAACUUUCAGAUAGUUGAAUAUUUUAUAACUGUCAGUUGGUUGGAAUAUUUCAACACUGUUUGUUCUUCCUGACUCCCGUUUUCUCCCAGUUGGUGUGUUUGUGAAAGCACCACAUAAUGAAUACUGAGAACACUCAGUGUCCCCACAAAAAGGGCGACUUUGGAGCCAGACGCCCAGCAAUCCCAUGAUGCACUGCUUCAUUAUGUGUGUAGAAGAACACACCAGGGGAAAGGUUCAAUCAAAUCAUUUCCUGCAAAAUGCUGCCGGGAAGUCUCCUGUUUUUCCGAGAAUUCUAAGGGCACUCACCUUUGAUGAUUGGCUCAGAAGUAAACAGACCAAGGAGCAAACAGACUAAUCGGUGCUGACGGAACACUGGUGUGCGAACCCAAGAGCCCUUCUUCAAGCUCGGAAAGGCAUCGAUGGGCUUAACUGUUGAAAACAAGCACAAUGUAUCUGUUGCUAAACUGCUUCAUCACUGGGCACGCUCUGAUGGUUCUGGUGCUCUCCACGUGUAUCCAGUGUGACCAGUAUCAGUACCUGGAGAGGGGGGUUUUGGUUAUGGCAGGUACCUGCAGGUGGUCUCGGAGCAGGGUACCAGUCUGGAUACAGAGACCACAGUCACCUCAGGCAUUCAUCGCCAGUGACCGACUGUCAAACAACAGGAAACUAAAGCAACCGUGCCGAAAUUUUUAAAAAAUAAAACUGCCUUCGCAGCAUAACAGAAAUAGAUCUGCUGUAUGGACACUGCACUUUACCAAGCACCUUUUUCCGGCUCUCACCAACUACAAGGUACAUACACGGCCAUUUUACUGGGGCCUUCACCCACCCUGCUAGCUUUUUAAAGGAUUUUAAUGAGGCGGUUAGAAAAACGAGACCUGGAGACUGAUCUUAAUUACACGGAGCGAACGUUUAAUGUAGCAGGAUUUCAAAGAGCGCCAUUUCAAAAACACUACUGUGCUCUCGUGCGAAAGGACAAAAAUUCUGGGCAGCGGCAGGCUCCACAACUGAAGCGAAGCUGUUCAAUUCAGUUCAGUUCAAUUGGGUAUACUGGGUAUGCUUUUUACAGAGACAAUCUCACACAGAGAUGCAUUACAGAGGAAACAGAAAGGGAAAAUUGGGCAAACGCCAGACCAGGAACCCUCAAAAAGCAACCAAUUGAGGUUUAAAAAAAAAAAAAAAAAAAACCUCCCCAGUGGGAAGCAAAACACUCAGACGUAGGCGAGAAAAAAAAAAGCUCCCCAACGGGAGUUGCAGGGGGAGGGAAAGAGUGAAAUAACCACUUUAUAUCACACAAAUACAUGGAAUUCUAGCGCAAUAAGAGCACACUGGCGGCUGCUCUUAGCACUUACGUGGGCUGGGCAGCUCUGCUUGGGCACCCCUCUCUGGUGCUGCAGCCUGUAAUCUGUUAUACACUGGGAGACAGAGGGGAAGCUAUCAGCUCUCCUGUGAGCACCGCUGUCCAACUAACACGGCUACUUUCAUAAGACCCAUUCUGCAGGAUACAAUGUCUUCGAAAAGCAUUCAGACCCCUUCAGACCUACAGCCAUAUUAAAUUGAUUAAAUUCACUUAUAUUCACUUAUGUACACACAAUACCCCAAAAUGAUAAAGCGAAAAUAGGUUUUUAGAAAUUUUUGCAAAUUCAUUAAAAAUAAAAAACUGAAAUAGAAAAGGGGUCUGAAUAUUUUCUGAAGGCAUUGUAUAAACAGUACAUAUUUAACCAAGGCUUGGGCCAAAUGUGCAUUUCAAAUACUUUUAACUCUUUAGAUGCUUGUGAGAUCUAAAGUUAGAAGUGCUUGUGAGACCCCUGCAAUUCCCUGAAAAUGUUUGUCAAAACACGUUACUAACCAAAAUGUGACAUCGUCUGGAAAAAUAAUUUGCAUUGAAUGUUAGGUGAAACUAUUACGUUUACGUUACGUAAAAAUAAUAUAUAAAUAUCACCUGGGUAAAAUAUGUAUUUGAAAUGCAUAUCUGCACUCAUGCAGGUCCUUCAAAAUCUUCUUCAAAACAUGUUACUAAUCAAAAUGUAUACAAAGUACUGGAAGUGCUGUUUCUUGCAGAGCUGUCCAGAAUGUGCCGGAAUGUUACCUGGGACAGAAGAGGUUCCCGUGUGCCUCCUGAGGGCGGACUGGGGGUCCUGUCUGUUCAUACCUGUGGAAUGCACACACACAUACGCGGGAUGGAGAAAGGACCGAAUGUACCCGUCGGGUUGUUCCUGCAGCUAGAAGUAAACUGAAGGAAACGGUGUCUGUGCUGUUUUCUGAGAGCAGUGAUGGUGUGGACGGUCAUCAUACCUUGAGCUGGCCACUGCACGGGUAAGCUUAGGGUCCGCCCUGAGAGAGAGAGAGAAAGAAAGAGAGUAUUUGGGUAUAUUAGUCCAGACAUGGACACAGAUCGAUAAAAAGUUUAAUUGAAAUUUAAAUGGGGAAAAAUCUGCCCAAGAACAUUUUUAAAAAAUCUAUCUGUCACUAUCUGCCGACAAUAGAAAUAGCAAAAAGCAGAUAAUAGAAACACACAAGUCAUGUGUGCUUAUACCCAACUUCAUGAGAUACUGCUCCUAAGAUGUUGCUACGCCUGAAGGCAUAGAGGGGAGAUUCCUGUUUAAUGUGAAAAGUAUAUACAUUCAUGCUUUUUCCAAGUUGCAAAAUCUUCAAGAUUUCAACUAUCAACUAACAUUUUAUUUGAGAAAUGUGGCAGGUUAGUACAUAUUUUUUCAGGUUUUUCUUAAAAGAGAAAAGCCAUUACUAUGUUCACCUUGCUUUUAUGUCCCAUAGUUUUUUGCCAAGUCUUUGAGAUUUAGAUUGUGGUGAAGGUUUGAUGGGAAUUGUAUUUAAAUUCUAAAUUGGAAGACCAGUUUUGCAGAGCACGAGAGCAUUUAGGAAAAGUUUAUUUUAUAUAAAAAGAAUCCAUCUAUAUUUGGUUGGAAUUCCACCACAAUAAACAUAAGUAGCAACAUAGGGAUUUAAUUGAGUGAGGUGAACAUUUCCUUUAAACUUCUUGGGACAGAAUAAACUGUACGCUCUUUCAUUUAACACCAUUUAAGAGACUGAGUGGUUUUGGAAACCGAGCGGAGAAACCUUGUUUUUGCUGUUGUUGCAGAAGUGCUGUAGCUAGUCAUUGCAUGGUGGUUAAAAAGACUGACAUCUUAAAGAGAAGGUUUUAACUUGCAGCCACGCUGGACGACCCAGUCUAUUUCAGAACAUAAGAAAUGUCAAACUCUGGGGACAGACUUUUAUUUUCAAACACUAUAUUCAAGUCUAAGAUAAAUAAAAGAACUGAGAAAUAAAACGGAUCUAAACAUGAAAAACAGACAAACAUCACUCCCCAAGGAAUAGGGCAUUGUUAAAAACGACAACAGCCCAAACAAAGAAAUUAUAAAAUAACGUAAACGUUCAUUGCUACAUUCUAUUGUUCGAUCUGUUAUCAUGAAGGUAAGUGAAGGUGUUCAAUAGAGUUUAAGAGAUUCAGAAAUGUUCUUUUGGGGUGAUUUCAAAACACACUUUCGGAUCCCUGAGAAUAUUCAAAUAAACAUCCUACCAAAGUAUAGUAUAUACCAAAGUACCAUACCAUACCAUAAACCAAAGUAUAGUAUAUAAAAUAAACACUUAG